CUUUAUGGGAGAGUCGUAUUCUGGGGUAGACGCUCUGGGCUGAGUGUGCUGAGCUCAACAGGAAAACACUCAGAAUCAGAGACACACUCUUUACACACUCCAUCCUGACACACACACACCGGACAGAGAGUAAGCCAAUCCAGUGUGAAUCACCACUGAAGUCCAAGGGAAGAGUAGGAAAUAUCCACAUGGGAGAGUCCAGGCUCUAUGACCAGAGUAUGUUAUACUGAAUCAGAUAUACAGUAUCAUCAUCAAACUAGGAGAUCCUACAGGACUAUGAUUCAGUGAUUGAGAGGGAGUGAGGAACUUAGCUCCUAAAACCAAUUGCUUCAGGCGAGAGAGAGUACUCCAGCUGUUACAGCCCGAGCUGCAUGACCACUGCUGCUCUCUGUCCGUCUGUCCGACUGACUGUCGUUCUUGUGGCAGCCUGGCAGGGAUGUUGUAUCUUCUUUCUAUCUGAACAAAUGAAGGAAAAUAAAUACUGCUGAUAGUCCUUCCAAAGUGCUGCUGUGUGUUCUGUCAUUCUGUCUAAGGCAGCAUUGUGGUAUCCUCAGCUUGUGUUCUUCCAGGAUCCAAGAGAGUCAGUGUCUUGCCACUAGCCCAGGAGAAGCCGAAGAGGCAGAGGGAGACUCUCUCUCUCUCUCUCUCUCUCUUUCUCUCUUUCUCUGUCUCUCUUGGGAUGUUUCUCUUGCGCUCUCUCUCUCUCUCUCUCUCUCUCUCUCUCUCUCUCUCUCUCUCUCUCCUCUCUGAUCAGGCAAGGAGGAUCCAAACAACCGUGUUCACUAAUGUAUACUGCUUCCACUCCUCAGAGGUGAGGAUACAUACCAGUGUGUGUGUGCCAUUCAUUAAUUCAUUAAUUUUCCUUCUCAAGGCUGACGUUUGACUCCUGCUAAUGAGAAGAAACAUCUCUCUCUCCCUCUCUCUUUCCCCACUCUCUCUCUCUUUCGCUCUCCUUCUCUCUUUCUCUCUUCCUCUCGCUCUCUCUCUCUCUCUCCUAUCACUCGUCAAUCUCUCUCUCUCUCUCUCCCUCUCUCUGUCUCUCUCUCUCUCUGUCUCUCUCUCUCUCACUCUCUCUCCUAUCUGUCCUCAAUUUCGCUCUCACUCUCUCUCUCGCAGUCUCUCUCUCUGACAGCUGAAGUGCAGCCUGACCCUGUAUCUCAGGGUCAGCCUCUCCC
RNAcentral lists this long non-coding RNA (1175 nucleotides) under Salmo salar (Atlantic salmon). RNAcentral describes it as "lncRNA (ENSSSAG00000101246.1)". Lineage: Eukaryota; Metazoa; Chordata; Actinopteri; Salmoniformes; Salmonidae. The record is from RNAcentral.